Molecule: transfer RNA, 84 nt
Filed under: Limnoglobus roseus
Lineage: Bacteria; Pseudomonadati; Planctomycetota; Planctomycetia; Gemmatales; Gemmataceae
Description: tRNA-Leu
Rfam family: tRNA
About the family: Transfer RNA (tRNA) molecules are approximately 80 nucleotides in length. Their secondary structure includes four short double-helical elements and three loops (D, anti-codon, and T loops). Further hydrogen bonds mediate the characteristic L-shaped molecular structure. tRNAs have two regions of fundamental functional importance: the anti-codon, which is responsible for specific mRNA codon recognition, and the 3' end, to which the tRNAs corresponding amino acid is attached (by aminoacyl-tRNA synthetases). tRNAs cope with the degeneracy of the genetic code in two manners: having more than one tRNA (with a specific anti-codon) for a particular amino acid; and 'wobble' base-pairing, i.e. permitting non-standard base-pairing at the 3rd anti-codon position.
Source: RNAcentral
GGGCGAGUGGCGGAAUGGCAGACGCCGGGGACUUAAAAUCCCCUAUCAGCAAUGGUGUGCGGGUUCGAGUCCCGCCUCGCCCAC